RNAcentral lists this ribosomal RNA (366 nucleotides) under uncultured Peritrichia. RNAcentral's name for it is "SSU rRNA". It matches the Rfam family "Eukaryotic small subunit ribosomal RNA", at positions 587 to 972 of the family's 1831-position model. The record is from RNAcentral. Lineage: Eukaryota; Ciliophora; Oligohymenophorea.
AGCUCCAGUAGCGUAUAUUAAAGUUGCUGCAGUUAAAAAGCUCGUAGUUGAAUUUCUGUCUGCGAGAAUCGAGACUUCAUAGUCGAGAUUUCUCCGGGCAUCUGUUUGCAAACAUGUGUUCGGCCUUCACUGGUUGGCCAUGCGAGCAAACGUUUUACCUUGAGAAAAUUAGAGUGUUCCAGGCAGGCUUCAGCCGGAAUACAUUAGCAUGGAAUAAUGGAAUAGGACUGGGGACUAUUUAUGGUUGAGGCUCCAGUAAUGAUUAAUAGGAACAGUCGGGGGCAUUAGUACUUAACAGUCAGAGGUGAAAUUCUUGGAUUUGUUAAAGACUAACUAAUGCGAAAGCAUUUGCCAAGCAUGUUUUCA